Molecule: non-coding RNA, 73 nt
Organism: Phycisphaerae bacterium
Lineage: Bacteria; Pseudomonadati; Planctomycetota; Phycisphaerae
Source: Rfam
GCCAAUGUAGCUCAGUCGGCAGAGCACUGCUUUCGUAAAGCAGGGGUCGUGAGUUCGAGUCUCACCAUUGGCA